RNAcentral lists this ribosomal RNA (253 nucleotides) under uncultured bacterium. RNAcentral's name for it is "partial 16S ribosomal RNA". It matches the Rfam family "Bacterial small subunit ribosomal RNA", at positions 524 to 776 of the family's 1533-position model. The record is from RNAcentral.
CACGUAGGGCGCAAGCGUUGUCCGGAAUUAUUGGGCGUAAAGAGCUCGUAGGUGGUCUGUUGCGUCCGCUGUGAAAACUCGGGGCUUAACCCCGAGCCUGCAGUGGAUACGGGCAGACUAGAGGUAGGUAGGGGAGAAUGGAAUUCCCGGUGUAGCGGUGAAAUGCGCAGAUAUCGGGAGGAACACCGGUGGCGAAGGCGGUUCUCUGGGCCUUACCUGACGCUGAGGAGCGAAAGCGUGGGGAGCGAACAGG